This 464-nucleotide ribosomal RNA is filed under the name Vreelandella stevensii. RNAcentral describes it as "partial 16S ribosomal RNA". It matches the Rfam family "Bacterial small subunit ribosomal RNA", at positions 338 to 795 of the family's 1533-position model. Lineage: Bacteria; Pseudomonadati; Pseudomonadota; Gammaproteobacteria; Oceanospirillales; Halomonadaceae. The record is from RNAcentral.
CCUACGGGGGCAGCAGUGGGGAAUAUUGGACAAUGGGGGCAACCCUGAUCCAGCCAUGCCGCGUGUGUGAAGAAGGCCCUCGGGUUGUAAAGCACUUUCAGUGAGGAAGAACGCCUGGUGGUUAAUACCCAUCAGGAAAGACAUCACUCACAGAAGAAGCACCGGCUAACUCCGUGCCAGCAGCCGCGGUAAUACGGAGGGUGCGAGCGUUAAUCGGAAUUACUGGGCGUAAAGCGCGCGUAGGUGGCUUGAUAAGCCGGUUGUGAAAGCCCCGGGCUCAACCUGGGAACGGCAUCCGGAACUGUCAAGCUAGAGUGCAGGAGAGGAAGGUAGAAUUCCCGGUGUAGCGGUGAAAUGCGUAGAGAUCGGGAGGAAUACCAGUGGCGAAGGCGGCCUUCUGGACUGACACUGACACUGAGGUGCGAAAGCGUGGGUAGCAAACAGGAUUAGAUACCCCAGUAGUC